RNAcentral lists this long non-coding RNA (233 nucleotides) under Lathyrus oleraceus (garden pea). RNAcentral's name for it is "Pisum sativum (pea) long non-coding RNA (PSAT_LNC041144)". The record is from RNAcentral. Lineage: Eukaryota; Viridiplantae; Streptophyta; Magnoliopsida; Fabales; Fabaceae.
UUUGUAAUGCCCCAGUUUGACUGUUUUGCUGAUUCUCGUGAUACAGCUGAAUGAGCUUCUUUCGUGCUCAAGAAGGUGGGUAAUCUCGUCAGGAAUCCCCUUCAACAUCAUCUUCCUCUGCCUCAGAUACAAGGACUUCAAGAUUGGGAGAUGGCGUUGGAUCAUUAUGUUCAAUGGGUUUAGAAAUCCCUGCAUAAUGAUUCUGGAUAAUGAAAAGCUUUUGAAUUUUAAAC